This 329-nucleotide ribosomal RNA is filed under the name uncultured eukaryote. Its description in RNAcentral is "partial 18S ribosomal RNA". It matches the Rfam family "Eukaryotic small subunit ribosomal RNA", at positions 1470 to 1796 of the family's 1831-position model. The record is from RNAcentral.
CCCUUAGAUGUUCUGGGCCGCACGCGCGCUACAAUGAUGAAUUCAACGAGUUUAUAACCUUGGUUGAAAAGCCUGGGUAAUCUUUUGAACUUUCGUCGUGAUGGGGCUAGACCCUUGCAAUUAUUGGUCUCCAACGAGGAAUUCCUAGUAAACGCAAGUCAUCAGCUUGCAUUGAUUACGUCCCUGCCCUUUGUACACACCGCCCGUCGCACCUACCGAUUGAAUGGUCCGGUGAAAUCUUCGGAUUGAGGCUUUGAUUUCUUCACGGAAAACGCUGUUUUAAAAAGUUGAUUAAACCUUACCAUUUAGAGGAAGGUGAAGUCGUAACA